CAACGGGACAGUUCAAAGGCAGCGCUAUACUUAUUAGGGUUCGCAGUCCUAAGUUUCAAGUAAUGUCACGUUUUCGGUAGCGUGGGAAUAGUUUAACGUUAGGUCAACACCAGGAACCAGUUGGUUUGUAAGCUAACCAAACUUAACUCUGGGUUAAAACGUCAACCCGAACAACCUAACGGAUUGUUUAUAAACUUUAGAAAUAUAUUUUCGAGAAAUCGUGUCUGGAUCGAUAGAACUUUUAUUUUCUGAAGUUUUGAAAUGAACAGACAUGCAGAAAUUCACAAACCAAAACAGCGGAUUAAAUUUUAACCUAGGAUUAGCGCUAAUCUUGCUUUGAACAACCGUCACCAGGGCUACGCGUGCAGUUUCUUUCUUAGUGAAAUUUUAUUGCGUCGGUGGGGCAAGAGAAGAAAUCUCACGUCUCUCAUGUUCUGCACAACAACAUAAUACACCCUUCGUGAAAAUACGUCACUUUGGCUAUAGACCGAUUGGAAAACUAGCUGCCACUACUUUGCAUUAUUUUCUACUCUAUUAUCAGGCGAAUCAAACAAUUUUACUAGAGGAACUGCUUAUGAAAGCAACGUCUUAAAGUUGAAGAUUGAAAACAAGUUGUGUAAGCAAAAUUUAAAGCUCUUUGUAAGGACUAAAAAGCACCAAAACGAGGCUAGUCAGUUUUCUUUGCUGAAUCUAGCUUAAACUUCGGUAUUUUUAAGAUUUAAUUUCUCACAGAAAAUACAUGCUAUUAUGUUUAUACUUUGAAAGACUGUUAUUCUUGAAGUAUUCUAUAAGGCAGCAGUGAUUAUCUUGGCUGAAAUUACUUUCUGUAGAAAAAAGAAUGACAACCAUUUUUUGAAUCCGUGUAUAGAGCCUCGUUUUCAUGUAUCUAACAUUAGUUAAAUCCCAACAUCUGAAUCAUGAAAACGAGGCUCUAUAGUCAAGAUGACGUUCUUUCUGGAAGCGUGUAUUGUAACUUGACGUCUUCAGUUACCUCGGUGCAUUUAAGUGCAUAUGAAGCGAAUAUUUUUAUUAUUUCCCUAGAAAACCACUUUGAAAUGAACACUAUUGUCAAUAUCUAUUUUGAUUGAGAAGUUAUUGAAGUUUCUAUAUUUUUAUUGAUGACGUUACAUUGUUUGCACAGGUCAUGUGACUAAAACAAAUUAGCUUCAUUCUCUGGCAAUACUCAGUAGAAAUGGAUGAAACUUUCAUAUAACACUUACACAAUUGUUGCAGGGAUUUUGAGUGGAAUUUUUAUACAUUUUAAUUCUAUUUAACGAGGAACAGUUGUGAAAAAUACAACUGUAGAUCCUCUGACAGGAAUUGAACCUGCGGCUCUGCAAUCUCUUCAACAAUUAGUUCUAUCACGUGAGAUUUCUAAAAUCCUGAUAUUUCUUCAUACACUUUUAGAAUUACACAUUGUUGCAACAGAGAUGCUGUUGUCAUGGAAACAUUUUCAGCCCCAGUCCUCUCACUAUAAAUCUCUAAUCUGUUUUAUGGGUUUGGUAUAGAUUGAACUGCGAAAUCUAUCUUUUUUAUAGUAUUGAAUUGAAUUUAUUGAUUGACAUUCCCUAAAAUGGGCUUUUCAAUGACAAUUUACAAAGAUUUUAAAAUAAAGUAUGAAUUAUCGACUAUAUUUACAACAAUCUUAUCAAAGUUAUUACGUGAACUAAAAUUAUACUAUAUAUUAUAGUUUAUGAGUUAAAAAAGUUGAAAAAAAGGACAUCGCUUAGUAAGGGAUAGUGUGCAUAAUCUCUUCAUCAUUUUAGCAAUUUGAUAUCGUUAAACACUGCAAUAAAUUAGAACUUCGUUCUCCUGGCAGAGAGGAUCUGGAACUAAGUGUGUUACCAUAACGACAACAUAACUGCAGUAGUGAUGUGUAUUUUCAUGAGUACCACACACGUUCGGAGUUUCCACUAUUUCUACAGAAUACAUGCAGAGAUAUAAGCUAAUUUAUGACAUAUCACGUGGUCAGUGCAAACCAUGUGACGUUAUCGAUAAAAACGCAAAAACUUCAGUAACUCCUGAACGAAAAUAGAUCUUGUUCAUUUUAAAGGGGCGUUCUAGGGAUAUAAUGAUCACUUCAUACGCACUUUAAUAUAUAUUUUUGGAUUUCACGAUCGUUGCUCAAUCAAAACAGAGAAGAUAUAUACUUUUAGAUCAAAUGUUACUCUUCCAGAGAGGUUUUUAACUAUUAUCGAUCAAGUAACAUUUUUAUCCAUCGAAUUAAUAACAUGUUCCUACAUAAUAGUGUUAAUUGACAAUAUAAAACAUAUAGUCAGUGUGAACAUUGGAGAUCAAAUGAUCAAUAUGAACAAUUAUUACUUAGCGUAUAUUAUGUAAUUCAAAAAUUGUAGUUUAUCAAACGUUUAUAGACAAUCAGAUUGAUUGAAACCUUGCUGGUCAGUCAUAUUAAAUUUAAACUAUUAAACUAUGAAUUGGAUAGCAAGGGAAAAACUCAAAUAUUGGAG
RNAcentral lists this long non-coding RNA (2468 nucleotides) under Paramuricea clavata. The record is from RNAcentral. Lineage: Eukaryota; Metazoa; Cnidaria; Anthozoa; Malacalcyonacea; Plexauridae.